ACGGAGGGGGCUAGCGUUGUUCGGAAUUACUGGGCGUAAAGCGCACGUAGGCGGGACAGAAAGUCAGGGGUGAAAUCCCAGGGCUCAACCUUGGAACUGCCUUUGAAACUCCUGUUCUUGAGUUCGAGAGAGGUGAGUGGAAUUCCGAGUGUAGAGGUGAAAUUCGUAGAUAUUCGGAGGAACACCAGUGGCGAAGGCGGCUCACUGGCUCGAUACUGACGCUGAGGUGCGAAAGCGUGGGGAGCAAACAG
Molecule: ribosomal RNA, 251 nt
Filed under: uncultured prokaryote
Description: partial 16S rRNA
Rfam family: Bacterial small subunit ribosomal RNA
Source: RNAcentral